CACGGGUGCGUAACACGUAUGCAAUCUACCCUUAACUGGGGGAUAGCCCCGAGAAAUCGGGAUUAAUACCCCAUAAUAUUGUGAAGAGGAGUCUCCUUACAAUUAAAGCUCCGGCGGUUUUGGAUGAGCAUGCGCGACAUUAGCUAGUUGGUGAGGUAACGGCUCACCAAGGCUUCGAUGUCUAGGGGUUCUGAGAGGAUUCACCCCCACACUGGUACUGAGACACGGACCAGACUCCUACGGGAGGCAGCAGUAAGGAAUAUUGGUCAAUGGACGCAAGUCUGAACCAGCCAUGCCGCGUGAAGGAAGACGGCCCUACGGGUUGUAAACUUCUUUUGUACAGGAAAAAACCACCGGUCGUGUAUCGGUGCUGAUGGUACUGUAAGAAUAAGCAUCGGCUAAC
Molecule: ribosomal RNA, 403 nt
Filed under: uncultured bacterium
Lineage: Bacteria
Description: bacterial SSU rRNA
Rfam family: Bacterial small subunit ribosomal RNA
Source: RNAcentral